This 634-nucleotide ribosomal RNA is filed under the name Nocardia sp. Se1Pt_1540. Its description in RNAcentral is "bacterial SSU rRNA". It matches the Rfam family "Bacterial small subunit ribosomal RNA", at positions 382 to 1027 of the family's 1533-position model. Lineage: Bacteria; Bacillati; Actinomycetota; Actinomycetes; Mycobacteriales; Nocardiaceae. The record is from RNAcentral.
CCUGAUGCAGCGACGCCGCGUGAGGGAUGACGGCCUUCGGGUUGUAAACCUCUUUCGACAGGGACGAAGCGCAAGUGACGGUACCUGUAGAAGAAGCACCGGCCAACUACGUGCCAGCAGCCGCGGUAAUACGUAGGGUGCGAGCGUUGUCCGGAAUUACUGGGCGUAAAGAGCUUGUAGGCGGUUUGUCGCGUCUUCUGUGAAAACUCACAGCUCAACUGUGAGCUUGCAGGGGAUACGGGCAGACUAGAGUACUUCAGGGGAGACUGGAAUUCCUGGUGUAGCGGUGAAAUGCGCAGAUAUCAGGAGGAACACCGGUGGCGAAGGCGGGUCUCUGGGAAGUAACUGACGCUGAGAAGCGAAAGCGUGGGUAGCGAACAGGAUUAGAUACCCUGGUAGUCCACGCCGUAAACGGUGGGUACUAGGUGUGGGUUUCCUUCCACGGGAUCCGUGCCGUAGCUAACGCAUUAAGUACCCCGCCUGGGGAGUACGGCCGCAAGGCUAAAACUCAAAGGAAUUGACGGGGGCCCGCACAAGCGGCGGAGCAUGUGGAUUAAUUCGAUGCAACGCGAAGAACCUUACCUGGGUUUGACAUACACCGGAAACCUGCAGAGAUGUAGGCCCCCUUGUGGUC